RNAcentral lists this ribosomal RNA (1506 nucleotides) under uncultured bacterium. RNAcentral describes it as "bacterial SSU rRNA". It matches the Rfam family "Bacterial small subunit ribosomal RNA". The record is from RNAcentral.
AGAGUUUGAUCCUGGCUCAGAUUGAACGCUGGCGGAAUGCUUUACACAUGCAAGUCGAACGGCAGCACGGGAGCUUGCUCCUGGUGGCGAGUGGCGAACGGNNNNNNNNNNNNNNNNNNNNNNNNNNNNNAUGGGGGAUAACUAUCCGAAAGGAUAGCUAAUACCGCAUACGCCCUGAGGGGGAAAGCGGGGGAUCGUAAGACCUCGCGUUAUUAGAGCGGCCGAUAUCUGAUUAGCUAGUUGGUGGGGUAAAAGCCUACCAAGGCGACGAUCAGUAGCUGGUCUGAGAGGACGACCAGCCACACUGGAACUGAGACACGGUCCAGACUCCUACGGGAGGCAGCAGUGGGGAAUUUUGGACAAUGGGGGCAAGCCUGAUCCAGCCAUUCCGCGUGAGUGAAGAAGGCCUUCGGGUUGUAAAGCUCUUUCGCAAGGGAAGAAACGAUGCAGUCGAAUAAACUGCGUUAAUGACGGUACAAUAAGAGGAAGCACCGGCUAACUCCGUGCCAGCAGCCGCGGUAAUACGGAGGGUGCAAGCGUUGUUCGGAAUUAUUGGGCGUAAAGCGCGUGUAGGCGGUUUGUUAAGUCUGGUGUGAAAGCCCUGGGCUCAACCUGGGAAGUGCAUUGGAAACUGGUAGACUUGAGUGCAAGAGAGGGAAGUGGAAUUCCUAGUGUAGCGGUGAAAUGCGUAGAUAUUAGGAGGAACACCAGUGGCGAAGGCGACUUUCUGGACUGUAACUGACGCUGAGGCGCGAAAAGCGUGGGGAUCAAACAGGAUUAGAUACCCUGGUAGUCCACGCCGUAAACGAUGAGUGCUAGGUGUCGGGGGUAUCGACCCCCUCGGUGCCACAGCUAACGCAAUAAGCACUCCGCCUGGGGAGUACGGCCGCAAGGUUGAAACUCAAAGGAAUUGACGGGGGCCCGCACAAGCGGUGGAGCAUGUGGUUUAAUUCGACGCAACGCGAAGAACCUUACCAGGGCUUGACAUCCUACGAAUCCUUAGGAAACUAGGGAGUGCCCUUCGGGGAGCGUAGAGACAGGUGGUGCAUGGUUGUCGUCAGCUCGUGUCGUGAGAUGUUGGGUUAAGUCCCGCAACGAGCGCAACCCCUGUGUUUAGUUGCUAACGUUUAAGGCGAGCACUCUAGACAGACUGCCGGUGAUAAACCGGAGGAAGGUGGGGAUGACGUCAAAUCAUCAUGCCCCUUAUGUUGUAAGACUACACACGUGCUACAAUGGCCUGUACAGACGGAAGCGAAGCCGCGAGGUGAAGCCAAUCCGAGAAAGCCGGUCUCAGUUCGGAUUGCAGGCUGCAACUCGCCUGCAUGAAGUCGGAAUCGCUAGUAAUCGCAGGUCAGCAUACUGCGGUGAAUACGUUCCCGGGCCUUGUACACACCGCCCGUCACACCACGAAAGUCUGCAACACCCGAAGCCGGUGAGGUAACCCGUAAGGGAGCUAGCCGUCGAAGGUGGGGCCGAUGAUUGGGGUGAAGUCGUAACAAGGUAACC